This 586-nucleotide small RNA is filed under the name human gut metagenome. The record is from RNAcentral.
UUAUAUAAAGAAGGCGCAGUAUUCUAGUCGGUUUUCAACUUUUGGAAGGCGUUAAAAGCGCUGACGGGCAUAUCUGUGAAGUUCGUGGUGCUGGCCUUGAUUGCCCAAAUCGGGGCUGGUGCUGGGAGUUAAGAUUUUUGGGCGCGCCAUAACGGCAUAUGGCACCCGACCCAAAUUUCGUGGAGACCCAAUCGGGUGGGAAAGGUAUUUUCGCACUCUUUGGGCUGAACCUGCAUUGCGGUAAAAAAGUUGCUGUGUGCAUUGUAGCCUGCUUUGAGUGAAAUAGUUGGGAUACGGAUAAAAACCAAACACAAUGUUAGGCCAACAUUUGUUUAGGAAGUUUAUAUACAUAAACGCUCCGUUGAAAUUCGUUUUGCAAAAAAAGCUAAGAAUUGUUUAGACCGUUUGAGAAAUUCUCUAGGCUGUUGCUCUUGUCUGGCAAAAUGGGGAUUAUAGUGUGGUCUAAGUGGCGAUUCGGUGAAGUCUUGUCCUUAAAAGGAAACUGCUUGUUCGGUGACGGCAAGUGGACAUAGCGGGAAAUCCAACCGAACCUAUGCUGCAAGGUUUACUCAUUUUGUUGCCUUCU